GCUGGGCACAGUGGCGCAUGCCUGUAGUCCCAGCUACUGGGGAGGCUGAGGCUGAAGGAUCGCUUGAGCCCAGGAGUUCUGGGCUGUAGUUCGCUAUGCCGAUCAGGUGUCCGCACUAAGUUCGGCAUCAAUAUGGUGACCUCCCGGGAGCCAGGGAGCACCAGGUUGCCUAAGGAGAGGUGAACUGGCCCAGGUCGGAAACAGAGCAGGUCAAAACUCCCGUGCUGAUCAGUAGUGGGAUCAUGCCUGUGAAUAGCCACUGCACUCCAGCCUGGGCAACAUAGCAAGACCCUGUCUCU
This 299-nucleotide signal recognition particle RNA is filed under the name Cebus imitator (Panamanian white-faced capuchin). RNAcentral's name for it is "Metazoan signal recognition particle RNA (ENSCCAG00000004763.1)". It matches the Rfam family "Metazoan signal recognition particle RNA". From Rfam's summary of the family: The signal recognition particle (SRP) is a universally conserved ribonucleoprotein. It is involved in the co-translational targeting of proteins to membranes. Lineage: Eukaryota; Metazoa; Chordata; Mammalia; Primates; Cebidae. The record is from RNAcentral.